CCUUAGAGUUUGAUCCUGGCUCAGGACGAACGCUGGCGGCGCGCCUAACACAUGCAAGUCGAACGAGCGAGAGAGAGCUUGCUUUCUCAAGCGAGUGGCGAACGGGUGAGUAACGCGUGAGGAACCUGCCUCAAAGAGGGGGACAACAGUUGGAAACGACUGCUAAUACCGCAUAAGCCCACGACCCGGCAUCGGGUAGAGGGAAAAGGAGAAAUCCGCUUUGAGAUGGCCUCGCGUCCGAUUAGCUAGUUGGUGAGGUAACGGCCCACCAAGGCGACGAUCGGUAGCCGGACUGAGAGGUUGAACGGCCACAUUGGGACUGAGACACGGCCCAGACUCCUACGGGAGGCAGCAGUGGGGAAUAUUGCACAAUGGGGGGAACCCUGAUGCAGCGACGCCGCGUGGAGGAAGAAGGUCUUCGGAUUGUAAACUCCUGUUGUUGAGGAAGAUAAUGACGGUACUCAACAAGGAAGUGACGGCUAACUACGUGCCAGCAGCCGCGGUAAAACGUAGGUCACAAGCGUUGUCCGGAAUUACUGGGUGUAAAGGGAGCGCAGGCGGGAAGACAAGUUGGAAGUGAAAUCCAUGGGCUCAACCCAUGAACUGCUUUCAAAACUGUUUUUCUUGAGUAGUGCAGAGGUAGGCGGAAUUCCCGGUGUAGCGGUGGAAUGCGUAGAUAUCGGGAGGAACACCAGUGGCGAAGGCGGCCUACUGGGCACCCAACUGACGCUGAGGCUCGAAAGUGUGGGUAGCAAACAGGAUUAGAUACCCUGGUAGUCCACACCGUAAACGAUGAUUACUAGGUGUUGGAGGAUUGACCCCUUCAGUGCCGCAGUUAACACAAUAAGUAAUCCACCUGGGGAGUACGACCGCAAGGUUGAAACUCAAAGGAAUUGACGGGGGCCCGCACAAGCAGUGGAGUAUGUGGUUUAAUUCGACGCAACGCGAAGAACCUUACCAAGUCUUGACAUCCUGCGACGCACAUAGAAAUAUGUGUUUCCUUCGGGACGCAGAGACAGGUGGUGCAUGGUUGUCGUCAGCUCGUGUCGUGAGAUGUUGGGUUAAGUCCCGCAACGAGCGCAACCCUUAUGGUCAGUUACUACGCAAGAGGACUCUGGCCAGACUGCCGUUGACAAAACGGAGGAAGGUGGGGAUGACGUCAAAUCAUCAUGCCCUUUAUGACUUGGGCUACACACGUACUACAAUGGCGUUAAACAAAGAGAAGCAAGACCGCGAGGUGGAGCAAAACUCAGAAACAACGUCCCAGUUCGGACUGCAGGCUGCAACUCGCCUGCACGAAGUCGGAAUUGCUAGUAAUCGCAGAUCAGCAUGCUGCGGUGAAUACGUUCCCGGGCCUUGCAAUCACCGCCCGUCA
Molecule: ribosomal RNA, 1375 nt
Filed under: uncultured bacterium
Lineage: Bacteria
Description: bacterial SSU rRNA
Rfam family: Bacterial small subunit ribosomal RNA
Source: RNAcentral